Molecule: ribosomal RNA, 255 nt
Filed under: uncultured bacterium
Lineage: Bacteria
Description: partial 16S ribosomal RNA
Rfam family: Bacterial small subunit ribosomal RNA
Source: RNAcentral
UACGGAGGGGGCUAGCGUUGUUCGGAAUUACUGGGCGUAAAGCGCGCGUAGGCGGACCUGCAAGUCGGGGGGUGAAAGCCCGAGGCUCAACCUCGGAACUGCCUUCGAUACUGCGGGUCUCGAGUCCGGGAGAGGUGAGUGGAAUUCCUAGUGUAGAGGUGAAAUUCGUAGAUAUUAGGAAGAACACCAGUGGCGAAGGCGGCUCACUGGUCCGGUACUGACGCUGAGGCGCGAAAGCGUGGGGAGCAAACAGGG